This 433-nucleotide long non-coding RNA is filed under the name Anser brachyrhynchus (Pink-footed goose). Its description in RNAcentral is "lncRNA (ENSABRG00000001403.1)". The record is from RNAcentral. Lineage: Eukaryota; Metazoa; Chordata; Aves; Anseriformes; Anatidae.
CUGCAUGAAGAUUAUUCUGUUCACUGUUAAGUGCUUCUGUGGCCAUUGCAACAUGCUGGAGAGGAGUCCUGGGCUCUUGGGAGACGGCUGCUACUACCAGCCUGAAAGAAAGUGUCUGAUUUUCCCUUCCCUCGAGAGAAAAGGAAAUGACUGCAAUUUUGCAGCUAUAAUGAAGACAGGAAAGAAAAAACAUGUUCACUGUCUGUGUGGUUAUCGAACAAAGAAGUAUGAGGACAUAUGGUGGCAGAGUGUGAAACAGUAUAUUACAAGCCUCCAGAUAAAAGCACUUAAAGAAAGCUCGCUGGUCUCACUGUCUUUGCUCAUCCCCAGUGACAGUUUUACUGCCAAUUACUGUUACUUGUUGCUGCCUUACUUCUUGCUGUGUGGUACACUGCUUCCACCUAUUUGCUGCUUCCUAAUGGAAGUGCUGUAA